Molecule: ribosomal RNA, 814 nt
Filed under: uncultured bacterium
Lineage: Bacteria
Description: bacterial SSU rRNA
Rfam family: Bacterial small subunit ribosomal RNA
Source: RNAcentral
UGACUNGAGUGCAGAAGGAGAGAGUGGAAUUCCAUGUGUAGCGGUGAAAUGCGUAGAUAUAUGGAGGAACACCGGUGGCGAAAGCGGCUCUCUGGUCUGUCACUGACGCUGAGGCUCGAAAGCGUGGGUAGCGAACAGGAUUAGAUACCCUGGUAGUCCACGCCGUAAACGAUGAGUGCUAGGUGUUAGGCCCUUUCCGGGGCUUAGUGCCGGAGCUAACGCAAUAAGCACUCUGCCUGGGGAGUACGACCGCAAGGUUGAAACUCAAAGGAAUUGACGGGGGCCCGCACAAGCGGUGGAGCAUGUGGUUUAAUUCGAAGCAACGCGAAGAACCUUACCAGGUCUUGACAUCCCGAUGCUAUUCUUAGAGAUAGGAAGUUACUUCGGUACAUCGGAGACAGGUGGUGCAUGGUUGUCGUCAGCUCGUGUUGUGAGAUGUUGGGUUAAGUCCCGCAACGAGCGCAACCCUUAUUGUUAGUUGCCAUCAUUAAGUUGGGCACUCUAGCGAGACUGCCGGUAAUAAACCGGAGGAAGGUGGGGAUGACGUCAAAUCAUCAUGCCCCUUAUGACCUGGGCUACACACGUGCUACAAUGGUCGGUACAACGAGUUGCGAGCCGGUGACGGCAAGCUAAUCUCUGAAAGCCGAUCUCAGUUCGGAUUGGAGGCUGCAACUCGCCUCCAUGAAGUCGGAAUCGCUAGUAAUCGCGGAUCAGCACGCCGCGGUGUAUACGUUCCCGGGCCUUGUACACACCGCCCGUCACACCACGAGAGUUUGUAACACCCGAAGUCGGUGAGGUAACCUUUUAGGGGCCA